CACCAGAAGGCUGUGAGCCGCUUCAAUUGUGCCAGGACACAAUGUCCGCCUGUCCGGACGAAGGUGUCCACCUCCAGCCGUCCUGCCCCGACCUCAACAAGGUGAACUUCACACCACACGGAGGCUCUGCUUUUUGCCGCGUCAGCGUCCUCAAGCCCCUCCUGCCCUCCAUGGACCUGCUCUUCCGUGGCCUGUCCGUCUCGCCCGUCACUAGUUGCCCGGGCCAGGCGUCUCCCACCAGGCAGCUCGGCAUGCAGUGAGGGUGAUGACCACCUCGCUGGACUAAAUUGCUCUGGGUUUACUCCGGGCUUUACUGCCUCGUCACAGUAGCCUUGAUCACACGGACUUGUGGAUGAAUACCAACUUGUUUUGUGACUUUGUUACUGAUAUAUGAUCAAGCUCAUUGUUUUUGACAAGGUACUUUUCUACCAAUUCCUUAUCAAGAAAAUUUAAAGUAUAUUUUUGUAGCUUUCGUGGUGACGUUAUUUGUAUCAGGCAGGAGAAAUCAACUCCUUUCUAGGUUUAUAGUGCGUUCAACGUUAUAAACAGGAAACUUUAAUUUCCUACUGAGGGUUUCUUUCUAAUCAAAACAUUGCAAAUGCAAGAUUGUUAAACUGAAUUGAUAUUUAUGUGUAAUUUGUUUCCCAUUCAACCUACGACACCCAUAAUUCAAUAUUGUGACAAGAAAACGUUCCAUUUUAUUCUCAGUGAUGUGGAAGAGCUUGAUUUUUUUUGCCCGAGUUAAUGUUAUCGUACAGUGUGCUCAUAAAUGUACUUACCCUGGCAGAAUUAAUAAACAAAAAAAUAAAACAUCAAGUAAUUAAUGAGAUAUCAUUAAACGUUCUUUUUCCCAAAGAAAAUGUCCUAAAUUCUGCUUGGGUAUGUACAUUUACAAGCAUAACUGUACAGUAUGUAGAUUAAACAGUGACUGAUUGGGGGGGGGGCGUUGUUUUCAUUUUUUUCCGUGAAGACUAAAUGAGCGAAAUGGAUUGUA
This is a long non-coding RNA of Hippocampus comes (tiger tail seahorse), 994 nucleotides long. RefSeq lists it as uncharacterized. The transcript is spliced from 2 exons. The record is from RefSeq and is a predicted model, not a curated record. Lineage: Eukaryota; Metazoa; Chordata; Actinopteri; Syngnathiformes; Syngnathidae.